CUACAGAAUGAGCAUACCACUUUUUUGCUCUUCCCAAAAGGGAGAACGGAAAUAAUUUCCAUUUAAGGGUUUCUUGGUCAUGCCAGAAAUAGAUCGGCAAGAACACAACUACUCGGAUUCUCUAAGGUGGGUGUAUGGAUCUUCAUCUACUUGCCUAGAGAAGGGUUGCUCCUGAAUCAUGGCUAUUAGAUCAGGGCCGAGGUCGUAGCCAUCUGUAAGAAUUGGAUGUGAUGAUGGUGGUGGCUCUAAUAACUCGCCCUUUGGAGCAAAGAAUUUUUAGAUAGGAGUGAAAUCCAUGUGGUAUGGUGAAAAUGGUAAGGUGAGUGUGGUAAAAAAAAGGAAAAUAAAAAGGAUACACGGACGACUU
RNAcentral lists this long non-coding RNA (367 nucleotides) under Sorghum bicolor (sorghum). RNAcentral describes it as "long non-coding RNA (SBIC_LNC004604)". The record is from RNAcentral. Lineage: Eukaryota; Viridiplantae; Streptophyta; Magnoliopsida; Poales; Poaceae.